Long non-coding RNA from Drosophila sechellia, 355 nucleotides. RefSeq lists it as uncharacterized. The transcript is spliced from 2 exons. The record is from RefSeq and is a predicted model, not a curated record. Lineage: Eukaryota; Metazoa; Arthropoda; Insecta; Diptera; Drosophilidae.
CAGAUCGACUGGAAUCAUGCUUUCUACAGUGGGCACCGCGUAUGGUUAACGCAGUGGGAAAUUGUCUACGGUUUGGAGGCCUUGCGUCCUUUAAAACGAGGGAGACAGCUAUAUAGAUCAAAUGCAUUUGUAUGUGUUGGUCCGCAAAACCAAAGAAGAGCAAGUAAAGUUAUAUCAAAUAUGGAAAAGAUACGAUACAAUUGUAACCUCACGGAGCAUAGUCAUCUGGUUUUCGGUGCCCGUGGGGGCUGUUUUAUGAUUUAUUUGUAGCAAACUUAGCAUAGCAUCGGGACAAAUUGUGUGAUCGACUCGAACGGACUCCUAUGAGCAGUAAACGCGGGUAGUGGGAACGGGA